GAUGAACGCUGGCGGCGUGCCUAAUACAUGCAAGUCGAGCGAACGGACGAGAAGCUUGCUUCUCUGAUGUUAGCGGCGGACGGGUGAGUAACACGUGGAUAACCUACCUAUAUGACUGGGAUAACUUCGGGAAACCGGAGCUAAUACCGGAUAAUAUUUUGUACCGCAUGGUUCAAAAGUGAAAGACGGUCUUGCUGUCACUUAUAGAUGGAUCCGCGCUGCAUUAGCUAGUUGGUAAGGUAACGGCUUACCAAGGCGACGAUGCGUAGCCGACCUGAGAGGGUGAUCGGCCACACUGGAACUGAGACACGGUCCAGACUCCUACGGGAGGCAGCAGUAGGGAAUCUUCCGCAAUGGGCGAAAGCCUGACGGAGCAACGCCGCGUGAGUGAUGAAGGUCUUCGGAUCGUAAAACUCUGUUAUUAGGGAAGAACAUAUGUGUAAGUAACUGUGCACGUCUUGACGGUACCUAAUCAGAAAGCCACGGCUAACUACGUG
Molecule: ribosomal RNA, 497 nt
Filed under: uncultured bacterium
Lineage: Bacteria
Description: partial 16S ribosomal RNA
Rfam family: Bacterial small subunit ribosomal RNA
Source: RNAcentral